This 2927-nucleotide ribosomal RNA is filed under the name Salmonella enterica subsp. enterica serovar Bredeney. Its description in RNAcentral is "23S ribosomal RNA". It matches the Rfam family "Bacterial large subunit ribosomal RNA". Lineage: Bacteria; Pseudomonadati; Pseudomonadota; Gammaproteobacteria; Enterobacterales; Enterobacteriaceae. The record is from RNAcentral.
GGGUUGUGAGGUUAAGCGACUAAGCGUACACGGUGGAUGCCCUGGCAGUCAGAGGCGAUGAAGGGCGUGCUAAUCUGCGAUAAGCGCCGGUAAGGUGAUAUGAACCGUUAUAACCGGCGAUACCCGAAUGGGGAAACCCAGUGUGACUCGUCACACUAUCAUUAACUGAAUCCAUAGGUUAAUGAGGCGAACCGGGGGAACUGAAACAUCUAAGUACCCCGAGGAAAAGAAAUCAACCGAGAUUCCCCCAGUAGCGGCGAGCGAACGGGGAGGAGCCCAGAGCCUGAAUCAGCAUAUGUGUUAGUGGAAGCGUCUGGAAAGGCGCGCGAUACAGGGUGACAGCCCCGUACACAAAAGCGCAUGUGCUGUGAGCUCGAUGAGUAGGGCGGGACACGUGGUAUCCUGUCUGAAUAUGGGGGGACCAUCCUCCAAGGCUAAAUACUCCUGACUGACCGAUAGUGAACCAGUACCGUGAGGGAAAGGCGAAAAGAACCCCGGCGAGGGGAGUGAAAAAGAACCUGAAACCGUGUACGUACAAGCAGUGGGAGCACCCUUUGGGGUGUGACUGCGUACCUUUUGUAUAAUGGGUCAGCGACUUAUAUUCUGUAGCAAGGUUAACCGAAUAGGGGAGCCGGAGGGAAACCGAGUCUUAAUUGGGCGUUAAGUUGCAGGGUAUAGACCCGAAACCCGGUGAUCUAGCCAUGGGCAGGUUGAAGGUUGGGUAACACUAACUGGAGGACCGAACCGACUAAUGUUGAAAAAUUAGCGGAUGACCUGUGGCUGGGGGUGAAAGGCCAAUCAAACCGGGAGAUAGCUGGUUCUCCCCGAAAGCUAUUUAGGUAGCGCCUCGUGAAUUCAUCUCCGGGGGUAGAGCACUGUUUCGGCUAGGGGGCCAUCCCGGCUUACCAACCCGAUGCAAACUGCGAAUACCGGAGAAUGUUAUCACGGGAGACACACGGCGGGUGCUAACGUCCGUCGUGAAGAGGGAAACAACCCAGACCGCCAGCUAAGGUCCCAAAGUCAUGGUUAAGUGGGAAACGAUGUGGGAAGGCCCAGACAGCCAGGAUGUUGGCUUAGAAGCAGCCAUCAUUUAAAGAAAGCGUAAUAGCUCACUGGUCGAGUCGGCCUGCGCGGAAGAUGUAACGGGGCUAAACCAUGCACCGAAGCUGCGGCAGCGACGCUGAUGCGUUGUUGGGUAGGGGAGCGUUCUGUAAGCCUGCGAAGGUGGCCUGUGAGGGUUGCUGGAGGUAUCAGAAGUGCGAAUGCUGACAUAAGUAACGAUAAAGCGGGUGAAAAGCCCGCUCGCCGGAAGACCAAGGGUUCCUGUCCAACGUUAAUCGGGGCAGGGUGAGUCGACCCCUAAGGCGAGGCCGAAAGGCGUAGUCGAUGGGAAACGGGUUAAUAUUCCCGUACUUGGUGUUACUGCGAAGGGGGGACGGAGAAGGCUAUGUUGGCCGGGCGACGGUUGUCCCGGUUUAAGCGUGUAGGUGUGUGUUCCAGGUAAAUCCGGUUCACUUUAACACUGAGGCGUGAUGACGAGGCACUACGGUGCUGAAGCAACAAAUGCCCUGCUUCCAGGAAAAGCCUCUAAGCAUCAGGUAACAUCAAAUCGUACCCCAAACCGACACAGGUGAUCAGGUAGAGAAUACCAAGGCGCUUGAGAGAACUCGGGUGAAGGAACUAGGCAAAAUGGUGCCGUAACUUCGGGAGAAGGCACGCUGACAUGUAGGUGAAGUGAUUUACUCAUGGAGCUGAAGUCAGUCGAAGAUACCAGCUGGCUGCAACUGUUUAUUAAAAACACAGCACUGUGCAAACACGAAAGUGGACGUAUACGGUGUGACGCCUGCCCGGUGCCGGAAGGUUAAUUGAUGGGGUCAGCGCAAGCGAAGCUCCUGAUCGAAGCCCCGGUAAACGGCGGCCGUAACUAUAACGGUCCUAAGGUAGCGAAAUUCCUUGUCGGGUAAGUUCCGACCUGCACGAAUGGCGUAAUGAUGGCCAGGCUGUCUCCACCCGAGACUCAGUGAAAUUGAACUCGCUGUGAAGAUGCAGUGUACCCGCGGCAAGACGGAAAGACCCCGUGAACCUUUACUAUAGCUUGACACUGAACAUUGAGCCUUGAUGUGUAGGAUAGGUGGGAGGCUUUGAAGUGUGGACGCCAGUCUGCAUGGAGCCGGCCUUGAAAUACCACCCUUUAAUGUUUGAUGUUCUAACGUGGACCCGUGAUCCGGGUUGCGGACAGUGUCUGGUGGGUAGUUUGACUGGGGCGGUCUCCUCCUAAAGAGUAACGGAGGAGCACGAAGGUUGGCUAAUCCUGGUCGGACAUCAGGAGGUUAGUGCAAUGGCAUAAGCCAGCUUGACUGCGAGCGUGACGGCGCGAGCAGGUGCGAAAGCAGGUCAUAGUGAUCCGGUGGUUCUGAAUGGAAGGGCCAUCGCUCAACGGAUAAAAGGUACUCCGGGGAUAACAGGCUGAUACCGCCCAAGAGUUCAUAUCGACGGCGGUGUUUGGCACCUCGAUGUCGGCUCAUCACAUCCUGGGGCUGAAGUAGGUCCCAAGGGUAUGGCUGUUCGCCAUUUAAAGUGGUACGCGAGCUGGGUUUAGAACGUCGUGAGACAGUUCGGUCCCUAUCUGCCGUGGGCGCUGGAGAACUGAGGGGGGCUGCUCCUAGUACGAGAGGACCGGAGUGGACGCAUCACUGGUGUUCGGGUUGUCAUGCCAAUGGCACUGCCCGGUAGCUAAAUGCGGAAGAGAUAAGUGCUGAAAGCAUCUAAGCACGAAACUUGCCCCGAGAUGAGUUCUCCCUGAGACUUAGAGUCUCCUGAAGGAACGUUGAAGACGACGACGUUGAUAGGCCGGGUGUGUAAGCGCAGCGAUGCGUUGAGCUAACCGGUACUAAUGAACCGUGAGGCUUAACCUUACAACGCCGAAG